Molecule: ribosomal RNA, 276 nt
Filed under: uncultured bacterium
Lineage: Bacteria
Description: partial 16S ribosomal RNA
Rfam family: Bacterial small subunit ribosomal RNA
Source: RNAcentral
UACGUAGGUGACCAGCGUUGUCCGGAUUUACUGGGCGUAAAGAGCGCGCAGGCGGUCGUUCAAGUCGAGUGUGAAAGCCCCCGGCUCAACUGGGGAGGGUCACUCGAUACUGAUCGACUUGAAGGCAGGAGAGGGAAGUGGAAUUCCCGGUGUAGUGGUGAAAUGCGUAGAUAUCGGGAGGAACACCAGUGGCGAAGGCGGCUUCCUGGCCUGUUCUUGGACGCUGAGGCGCGAAAGCUAGGGGAGCAAACGGGAUUAGAAACCCCGUAGGUCCAA